UUUUUUUCCUGUCUCUCUCACAGCAUCUCCAUAAAUAGCCUAGUCCAGUCAGGUGCUGGCUGAAAAUUGUGGAUCUUCCUGGAGCAGAGAACCUCACUGAGAACCUGUGGGGUGGGAGUUUAAGAGAGAAGCUUCUGCUGAAGAAGUCCUUGGUGGCUUUCUACCAGUGAUUCCAAGUUGACCCAGUUGCUGGAAGAAGCCCUGGCCAGGAACAGCAAGACCACGGUUAUUUUCUGCCUGUCUCCAACCUUAGAUUCUUGGCACCUAGCGGCUGUGCUGAAGACCUGUAUAGCUCUCUCGCAAGUUAAGAACUUCCCUGUUUUAAAUGAAUACUUUGUAGAGUCAUUGCUUACUCAGUACUGGGCAAGGAUCCUGGCCCUUCAGCACCGACUAUAUGAACACAUGGAUCUUAGGAGUGCCAUGGAGAGUGAGAGCAUAAGCACCCUCCGAGAACAGGUCCAGUGCCUCACCAAUGAAAAUGUGCAGCUGCAGGAUAGGAAUGAAAGACUGUACACAAAGCUUGAAGAACUGCAGGAGAAGAUGGGGAAGCUGGCUGGUUCCAAAACAGACUUGUCAUCCAGACUGGUCUUCAGUGAGGAGGAGAAACUUAAGAUUUCUAAGGACCUCAUUGAUCUCCAGAUCGAGACAAACAAAAUGAGAGAGCAGUAUGAGGCAGAGAACUUUGAACUGAAAAAUAUGAUCCUGACCCUGGAGAACCAUAUUCUGGAGUUGGAGCUCCAUGAUGAGAAGGUCACUGGGGAGCAUGAUGCCCUACAGGAACGCCUGCACACUGUGGAGACCAAUCGCAAGGAGCUGGCUGAUGAGUACAUCAUUCUGAAAAGCAAUUAUAUGGCCCUGGGCAAAGAACAUGAACAGGAGGUUGCUAAGAAUGAAGAGCUGAGCAUAGAGCUGCUAAACCUGGUCAACACCAGGAGCUCCCUUCCUCAGUCAUGGAGUAACAACUCUCCGUCCCAAGCGCUGGCCAAUGAAACCUCAGCUGAGCUGGAAAGGGUGCGGGCUGUGGUCCACCGCCUCUCUGCCCGGAAAGUGAAGCCAGAAGAUAUAGUUGCCUCUGAACACGAACGUCGAAAACUGGAGAGACAUAUGCUUGGAAACCAGGAUCACAUAAAAGCUGAGAUUGAAAAGAUGAAGCAAACGUACGAUUCUCAGCAACAGAAGCUGGAACAGAGAGUGGUGGCAAUGGGGAAGGAGCUGCAGCAGUCCAAGAGAGUGAUUCGCAAUACUCAGCACAAACUGGUGGAGCAGUCAGUGGUGCUGCUCACCUCUCAGAGCCAGCUCAAAGAGGUGGAGGUUGAGAAUUCCCAACUGCAACUUCAGCUGAAGGAACUGAAUGAGGAAUAUCGCUGUCGUCUUACUCAGUACAUCAAGGACCUGGCGGAAUAUAUGGACAGUAAAUCAAAUGCUUCUAAGGUGCCUAACAAAGUACCAGCUGACCAUGCUUACAUGAAGCGCUUUGUGGAUGGCAUGGUGAAGGACAUUCGGGCUGCCCAUAAAUCUCGGGAAGAGCAGCUGGCUGGAGCUGUGCGUGGUUACAAGAAGCGCAUGCAGAACCUUGUCAAGAGGCAUGAAAACCUGCUGAUUGCUUAUAGGAUGCAGCGUGAGCAGAUCCAGUCUCAGGGCAGCAGCGAGAUGGACCCAGGCCCUCCUGAGUUCCAUUUCACCAUCACAGAUUCUGAGCUACUGACAAGCACAACCCAGGAGCUAAACCAGCUGCGAGAGGACAAAGCAAAACUAGAGACACAGCUGCAUGAACUGCAGGAGAUGAAAAGACUGAGUGAAAGCUCUGCGCUAGGACCAUCCCUUCACCACAAGCUGGAUGAGGAGGGCUGGGCAGAGAUCAGGAAGCAGCUCCGGGAUUUCACACAUACCAUGCAGGAAGAUCUGGAGAAGGAGAGAAGCCAGCUACUGACUCGGGCAAUUGUGGCAGAAGAGCAGGUGCUGGAGCUGCAGGAAUAUGUAGAUAAGCAUCUUGCAAGGUACAAGCAGGAGAUCCUGAGGUUAAGGAAACUUGUAGGGAGCGAGGCACCCAGAGCAUUCAGUGCUGGGGCUUCUGAUGCUCAUUUAAUGCAGAGAUCCAAAAGGACCAUCAGCCAUGAACUGUAGCUUUUGCCAUGGCCCUGACAAGCAGCAGUCAUUAGUUCAUCAUAGGAAAGACAAGGACAUAAAACUGAGUGGCUGCCUGGCUGUAAUAUUCAGUGCUCUGUCACACCAAGAGAUAAUCCACUCCAGCGAGCGCUCUUCAUCCUGGGGCCCUCUUACUAGAGGACUAGGACUUGCUGAGAAGGAAAUCAGCAGUAUACAUUUGACCCUACAGAGUAAACAGUAAUGGCCCAGAAGGGGGCUGGCUCCAUGGAGAUGAGAAGUAAACACCCAAACCAAGCCAAGGACACCAAUGCCAGCAAGAUCUACAGUACAGAUCCGUUUAUGUGCGGAUGGGGGGAGUCAAGCCGUCACAACUGCGUGUUAACGGACCGCGGGUUAAGAGGGCCAUGCUGAAAUAUCUUAAGAUAUCUAUAUAUACAUAUGUAUAAUUAUCUAGGAUUACAUACGUAUUCACAGUGUCCCAAAUACCGAAGGCCUAUCUGUUAACGGUGCUUUGCAAGAAUAUAAAUUCAAAUGUGUAAUCUAAUAAAAAUAUUAUUAUUACUAAACAGGGGUGAAAGAAACUCAGGACACUUACCGGUACAGGGCGGGGGUGGCUCUGGCCCCCAGAAGGGGCAGGGCUAGGGGUCAGCAUCCCCCAGCCAGCCCUUCCUGGCCACCUGGUCCGUGCUGCCCGGGGUUCCCAUGGUGAUUUAAAGGGCGGCGUCUGGAGCCCCAGGCCCUUUUAAAUUGCUGACCCCAGGGCAGCUGCUCCCUUUGCCCCCCUGCCCAUCGGCAGCCGAGGGGGGGCAAAAGGGGCAGGGACCUUAAAGCGCUGCAGGGUCCUUUGCUGCAGCAGCGCUUUAACGUUGCUGCGCCCACCCACCCCCGUCGGUGGCCCAGCGCUGCUGCAGCAAAGGACUGUCCUUAAAGCACUGCAGCACUUUAAUGUCCCUGCCCUUUUUGCCUCCCCUGUUGG
Molecule: non-coding RNA, 3082 nt
Organism: Chrysemys picta bellii (western painted turtle)
Lineage: Eukaryota; Metazoa; Chordata; Testudines; Emydidae
Source: RefSeq, a predicted model, not a curated record